CUACGGGGGGCAGCAGUGGGGAAUAUUGCACAAUGGGCGCAAGCCUGAUGCAGCCAUGCCGCGUGUAUGAAGAAGGCCUUCGGGUUGUAAAGUACUUUCAGCGGGGAGGAAGGGAGUAAAGUUAAUACCUUUGCUCAUUGACGUUACCCGCAGAAGAAGCACCGGCGAACUCCGUGCCAGCAGCCGCGGUAAUACGGAGGGUGCAAGCGUUAAUCGGAAUUACUGGGCGUAAAGCGCACGCAGGCGGUUUGUUAAGUCAGAUGUGAAAUCCCCGGGCUCAACCUGGGAACUGCAUCUGAUACUGGCAAGCUUGGGUCUCGUAGAGGGGGGUAGAAUUCCAGGUGUAGCGGUGAAAUGCGUAGAGAUCUGGAGGAAUACCGGUGGCGAAGGCGGCCCCCUGGACGAAGACUGACGCUCAGGUGCGAAAGCGUGGGGAGCAAACAGGAUUAGAUACCCCGGUAGUC
RNAcentral lists this ribosomal RNA (464 nucleotides) under uncultured bacterium. RNAcentral describes it as "partial 16S ribosomal RNA". It matches the Rfam family "Bacterial small subunit ribosomal RNA", at positions 339 to 795 of the family's 1533-position model. The record is from RNAcentral.